GUUCUUAUAAACUAAGUUUACGCGACCAACUUCUUUUACCGGUUAACGGCUUUAUGACAUACGGAGAAGUCUUACUUAAUACGUUCAUCAUCUUUGAUGAUUUACAUUCUUAUCUUCUUUUUAUAACUCUCCUAGGACUCAGCACACAUCGUGUCUCUACUACUAGUCCAUAUGGUACUAUGAGUGGUUUCCCACAAACAACCAACAAACAAGUUCUCGUCUCAUCUACACUGCCCAUAACAGCGAUUUAGAUCGGUUGUCAGUUUUGUAUAUACCAUCGCUCUCUGAAGGAAUUGUUUAGCCCAGCUCCCAUAUGUCAACAUCAAAG
Molecule: long non-coding RNA, 328 nt
Filed under: Panax ginseng (ginseng)
Lineage: Eukaryota; Viridiplantae; Streptophyta; Magnoliopsida; Apiales; Araliaceae
Description: long non-coding RNA (PGIN_LNC013805)
Source: RNAcentral